This 592-nucleotide ribosomal RNA is filed under the name uncultured bacterium. RNAcentral's name for it is "bacterial SSU rRNA". It matches the Rfam family "Bacterial small subunit ribosomal RNA", at positions 334 to 917 of the family's 1533-position model. The record is from RNAcentral.
UACUCCUACGGGAGGCAGCAGUAGGGAAUCUUCGGCAAUGGACGGAAGUCUGACCGAGCAACGCCGCGUGAGUGAAGAAGGUUUUCGGAUCGUAAAGCUCUGUUGUAAGAGAAGAACGAGUGUGAGAGUGGAAAGUUCACACUGUGACGGUAUCUUACCAGAAAGGGACGGCUAACUACGUGCCAGCAGCCGCGGUAAUACGUAGGUCCCGAGCGUUGUCCGGAUUUAUUGGGCGUAAAGCGAGCGCAGGCGGUUAGAUAAGUCUGAAGUUAAAGGCUGUGGCUUAACCAUAGUACGCUUUGGAAACUGUUUAACUUGAGUGCAAGAGGGGAGAGUGGAAUUCCAUGUGUAGCGGUGAAAUGCGUAGAUAUAUGGAGGAACACCGGUGGCGAAAGCGGCUCUCUGGCUUGUAACUGACGCUGAGGCUCGAAAGCGUGGGGAGCAAGCAGGAUUAGAUACCCUGGUAGUCCACGCCGUAAACGAUGAGUGCUAGGUGUUAGACCCUUUCCGGGGUUUAGUGCCGUAGCUAACGCAUUAAGCACUCCGCCUGGGGAGUACGACCGCAAGGUUGAAACUCAAAGGAAUUGACGGA